This 1023-nucleotide ribosomal RNA is filed under the name Triticum aestivum (bread wheat). RNAcentral's name for it is "partial small subunit ribosomal RNA". The record is from RNAcentral. Lineage: Eukaryota; Viridiplantae; Streptophyta; Magnoliopsida; Poales; Poaceae.
AUGUCUUCCUCCCCCUCCAUGCGAAUCUCUCCACCGCAAGAAGGCGAGGCCAAAACCAACGAAGAGCUCUACCAGCAGUUCACCAACUUGGUGUCCUCCUGGCCGUGCUCCCCUGCCCUCUCCAAUUACCAGCUUUACCGCCACGACAAUGGCUGGCACAGCAGCCUGGCUCCAAUGGUCGGCACGAUGGUCGCCGACGCAUGCUUCGCCGCGCGCCCCUCGGACAUCAUCGUGGCCACACUGCCCAAGUCCGGUACGACCUGGAUCAAGGCGCUCCUCUACUCCACGGUGCACCGGAGGGAGCACCCCGCGGACUCCUGCGGCCACCCGUUUAACAUCCAUGGUCCUCACGAGUGCAUCAAGUUUCUCGACUACCAGCUCUACACGCAGAACAGGAUCCCGGACCUCGACGAGCUCCCGGACCCAAGGCUCUUCGCCACGCACGUCCCCUUCGUGUCGCUGCCGAGGUCGGUCGUGGCGUCGGGCUGCAAGAUCGUGUACGUGUGCCGCGACCCCAAGGACACCCUCAUCUCGCAUUGGAACUUCGCGAACAAAUUCAGGGUCAGGGACGGUCUGGAGCCGCUCUCGGUUGAGACCGCCGCCGACUACUUCUGCGACGGCGUGUCGCCGUUCGGGCCGUACUGGGAUCAUGUCCUAGGGUACUGGCGCGCGCACUCCGCGAACCCCGAGCAGGUGCUCUUCUUCAGGUACGAAGAGAUGAGUCGAGACCCGGCGGAACACGUGCGGAGGCUGGCCAAGUUUGUUGGAUGCCCGUUCAGUGUGGAGGAGGAGGAAGUCUGCGCGGUGGACGCCAUCGUCAAGCUGUGCUCGUUCGAGCACAUGACCGGGCUCGAGGCGACCAAGGGCGGCAAGACAGAGCUCACGUUUGGCGUUGUGGAGAACAGCUCGUUCUUCCGGCGCGGCCAGGUCGGGGACUGGGAGAAUCAUCUAUCGCCGGAGACGGCACGAAAGAUCGAUGCCAUCAGCGAGGCCAAGUUUAGGGGCUCCGGUCUCUCUGUCUAG